This 468-nucleotide ribosomal RNA is filed under the name uncultured bacterium. Its description in RNAcentral is "partial 16S ribosomal RNA". It matches the Rfam family "Bacterial small subunit ribosomal RNA", at positions 28 to 507 of the family's 1533-position model. The record is from RNAcentral.
GACGAACGCUGGCGGCAUGCUUAACACAUGCAAGUCGAACGGAACGUCCCUGCUUUUGUGGGGUCCUCGAGUUGCGAACGGGGGAGUAACACUUAGGUACCGUACCAUUGCCUUUAGGGUAACUUCAUAACACUUGGGCUCAUACGGGCUAAGAUCUCCCGCUGUAUGGUGGGGGUGGGAUGGUUUCGGCGGUUGGGAAUGGACUCGCGUCUUAUCAGCUUGUUCGUGGGGUAGUGGAUUACCAUGGCCUUGACGGGUAGCCGGGCUGCGAGGGGGACCCGACACAUUGGGACUGAGAUACGGCCCAGACUCCUAUGGGAGGCAGCAGUGGAGAGUAUAGCACUAUGGGAGGGAGCCUGAUGUAGCAACGCCGCGUGCGGGAUGACGGCAAUCGGGUUGUAAUCCGCUGCCGCCUGUGACGAAGCGUGAGUGACGGUAAUGGGUAAAUAAGCACCGGCUAACUACGUG